UACAGAGGGUGCGAGCGUUGUCCGGAAUUAUUGGGCGUAAAGAGCUUGUAGGCGGUUUGUCGCGUCUGCCGUGAAAAUUCGAGGCUCAACCUCGAACUUGCGGUGGGUACGGGCAGACUAGAGUGUGGUAGGGGAGACUGGAAUUCCUGGUGUAGCGGUGGAAUGCGCAGAUAUCAGGAGGAACACCGAUGGCGAAGGCAGGUCACUGGGCCGCAACUGACGCUGAGGAGCGAAAGCAUGGGGAGCGAACAGG
Molecule: ribosomal RNA, 253 nt
Filed under: uncultured bacterium
Lineage: Bacteria
Description: partial 16S ribosomal RNA
Rfam family: Bacterial small subunit ribosomal RNA
Source: RNAcentral